ACUCAAAUGAAUUGACGGGGGCCCGCACAAGUGGUGGAGCAUGUGGUUUAAUUCGACGCUACGCGAAGAACCUUACCCGGGUUUGAAUUGCAGUGGUUGUAGUCGGCAGAGAUGUCGGCGACCCCGCAAGGGGGCUGCUGUGAAGGUGCUGCAUGGCUGUCGUCAGCUCGUGCCGUGAGGUGUUGGGUUAAGUCCCGCAACGAGCGCAACCCUUAUCUUUAGUUGCCAGCACGUUAUGGUGGGCACUCUGGAGAGACUGCCGACACAAGUCGGAGGAAGGUGGGGAUGACGUCAAGUCAGCAUGGCCCUUACGUCCGGGGCUACACACGUGCUACAAUGGCCGGUACAACGGGCAGCGAGACCGCGAGGUGGAGCGAAUCCCUUUAAAGCCGGCCUCAGUUCGGAUUGCAGGCUGCAACUCGCCUGCAUGAAGUUGGAAUCACUAGUAACCGCAGAUCAGCUACGCUGUGGUGAAUACGUUCCCGGGCCUUGUACACACCGCCCGU
This 506-nucleotide ribosomal RNA is filed under the name uncultured bacterium. RNAcentral's name for it is "partial 16S ribosomal RNA". It matches the Rfam family "Bacterial small subunit ribosomal RNA", at positions 899 to 1397 of the family's 1533-position model. The record is from RNAcentral.